GGCUCGGUAGCUUAGUUGGUAAUGCGCUCGUCUAGCAUACAAGAGUUCUAGGCUCGAAUCCCAGCCGAGCAC
This is a non-coding RNA of Aedes aegypti (yellow fever mosquito), 72 nucleotides long. Lineage: Eukaryota; Metazoa; Arthropoda; Insecta; Diptera; Culicidae. The record is from Rfam.